UACGGAGGGUGCAAACGUUGCUCGGAAUCAUUGGGCGUAAAGCGCACGUAGGCGGUCCGGCAAGUCGGGUGUGAAAGCCCUCGGCUUAACCGAGGAAGUGCAUUCGAAACUACCGGACUUGAAUCCGGGAGAGGGAUGCGGAAUUCCAGGUGUAGCGGUGAAAUGCGUAGAUAUCUGGAGGAACACCGGUGGCGAAGGCGGCAUCCUGGACCGGCAUUGACGCUGAGGCGCGAAAGCCAGGGGAGCAAACGGG
RNAcentral lists this ribosomal RNA (253 nucleotides) under uncultured bacterium. Its description in RNAcentral is "partial 16S ribosomal RNA". It matches the Rfam family "Bacterial small subunit ribosomal RNA", at positions 524 to 776 of the family's 1533-position model. The record is from RNAcentral.